AUGUGCCUCAUCACGCCGGAGGACUGCAACCACCUGUUCGUACACUGCAGAUUCACCCAACAAGUCUGGCUGUUGUUCAGAAAUUGGACACGGACGGCUUUUCAGGUGCCAGCGGAUCGUUUCAGCAGUACUGAAGACUGGUGGCUGCAAGCACGUAAAGAAGUUCCCAAGCCCAUGCGUCGUGAUUUUGACACAAUCGCCAUCUUGAUUCACUGGAGGAUUUGGAAGGAAAAAAUUUCCAGAAUUUUUGAGCAGAAAGCAAGCAAUCCAUUCAGGGUUUUGGAUCUGGUCAGAGAAGAUAUUGGCACAAGGAGGGCGGCGGGCUGUGUUUUAGAAAUCGGCAACCUCCCUUGA
RNAcentral lists this ribosomal RNA (354 nucleotides) under Triticum aestivum (bread wheat). RNAcentral describes it as "partial small subunit ribosomal RNA". Lineage: Eukaryota; Viridiplantae; Streptophyta; Magnoliopsida; Poales; Poaceae. The record is from RNAcentral.